AUCUAAUUUAUUUCUCACUUGGUUGUUGUCAUUAGUAAGAUCCUACAUAAAAAAGCAUUGAGAGUUUUAGGAGGCAUUUAGUAAUGUUAGCUCCUUUCUACUUGUACUGUAGUAAUGCAUUCUUUAGGAUCAAGUUCCCCCGACAGUGAGUUGUCUGAAAUGAAGAAAGCUAAAGUCAUUCCAACAUUCCAAGUCAUUAUGUAGGAAAGCCUCAGUGCCUGGAGAAGCUAGACCUGGCAGGUGGUAGAUGCUCACUAAAUGCACAUUUAUUAAUGAUUUUAUGGGAUUUUACUUCAUUGGGGAGAGGGGAACCCCUGUAGGUUGGCCUGUGAGACCUGUGAGUGAGUGGUCUCUUAGUUUGCCCAUUUGCAGAGUUGGCUUUGUCUGCUUAUUAUUCUCCCAAUUAUGAAGGAUUGGCGAGAUGAUCAAAUGUCAUUAGUAAAUUACAAAUAAGAGGUUGGUGCUUGUAGGGCUGUUAAGUCAGCCUGGCUGCUGAGAGCCAUUUAGUGUCUUGGAAUGGGCAAUUUGUUAAAUGACACAUAAGAAAGUUGAAAGAAUUAAUGUUCCUCUCCAAGGAGCAAUUUAUUCCUUUUUUUUUUUAAUUCAUUCAGCCUAAAUAUUUAUUCACAGCCUUGGGUUCCUUGUAAGAGAGAAGCUAUAAAAAACAAUAUGAUCAUCUUCUCUUUAUUUUCUUAUUUAGAGCCAUAAGACCCGAGGAAGAAGCAUAAUAGGCAGGAUGGAUAGUAGCACCCCUAGAGGAAUUCUGUGGGUAAUAGAAGCUGCCAAACUGAAUACAAGAAAUCACACAUGACACGUACAGCAUUGGGAAAAUAUUUGAAUCUGCAUAGAAGUUUGUCAGAUGCAUGAUGGCUAAACCUGCUAUACUUUUCCUAAUGAAGAUUGUUCCAGGCUUCAUGGAUGAAGAGCAAACAGGACAGAGUUCUGUUCAUCUUGGGCUUAUCCACAUGCCAAAUCCUGGCUUCCAGCCUUAUCCCUCUGUUCCAACUCCCUUAUUGUCUCCACUUUGGCAUCUUCUUAAUGAAUAGCUAUUUAAAAACCAACCAGAAAGGACACGCAAGUCUCGAAUCAAGGCAACUUGUUGAUGGAAGAAGACACACUAUCAGAAGAGGAGUGUCAAGGAGUAGAAUUGCUGAAGGUGUAAAUACAUAG
This 1170-nucleotide long non-coding RNA is filed under the name Vulpes vulpes (red fox). RNAcentral describes it as "lncRNA (ENSVVUG00000005433.1)". The record is from RNAcentral. Lineage: Eukaryota; Metazoa; Chordata; Mammalia; Carnivora; Canidae.